GAAUAGCUCGCUAAGUUGAAAACCCGAAAGGGCGGCUUAGGCAAAAAUGAGCGUCUCGGUGGAGAACCCGCAAGGGUGAUCCAGGCAAAAGUUAGAGACAUGGAAAAAAGUAUAUUUGCAUCCCGCUAGAUUGAGUACCUCACCCUGGGGCAAUCUAGGCAAAAAUUAGGGAUUUGGCAAGGAACUGCAUCCUGACAAGAUUUUC
RNAcentral lists this long non-coding RNA (205 nucleotides) under Lathyrus oleraceus (garden pea). RNAcentral's name for it is "Pisum sativum (pea) long non-coding RNA (PSAT_LNC036139)". Lineage: Eukaryota; Viridiplantae; Streptophyta; Magnoliopsida; Fabales; Fabaceae. The record is from RNAcentral.